UCUGGUUGACCCUGCCAGUAGCAUAUGCUUGUCUCUGAGACUAAGCCAUGCAUGUCUAAGUAUAAAUUAAUUUUUACGGUGAAACUGCGGACGGCUCAUUAAAUCAGUUAUAACCUACUUGAUCGUGUGACUUUAUUCGGAUAACCCUAGUAAUUCUAGAGCUAAUACGUGCUAAAAGCCUUAACUUCCAGCAAUGGGGGAAGAGGUGUAUUUAUUAGAAACUAAAACCAAUCAGCUUCGGCUGUUUGAGAUGAUUCAUAAUAACUCGGCAAAUUACGGGAAAAUUCCUGUGAUGAUUCAAACGGAUUUCUGACCUAUCAACUUUAGAUGGCAAAGUAGGGGUUUGCCAUGGUGACAACGGGUGACGGGGAAUUAGGGUUCGAUUCCGGAGAGGGAGCCUGAGAAACGGCUACCACUUCCGAGGAAGGCAGCAGGCGCGCAAAUUACCCAAUGCUAAUUCGGCGAGGUAGUGACAAGAAAUACCAAUGUAGGACCCAACGGGUACUACGUUUGGAAUGAGAACAAUUUAAAAACCUUAACGAGGAACAAUUGGAGGGCAAGUCUGGUGCCAGCAGCCGCGGUAAUUCCAGCUCCAAUAGUGUAUAUUAAAGUUGCUGCGGUUAAAAAGCUCGUAGUUGGAUUACGAAGUGGUGUUUAAAUGUCAUUUUGGUUUGUUUGUCUUUCGGGGCAUUCAGGUCAACUUGGCUUUUACUCACUGUUGUCAUUGUCUUUGCCCAAGGUAUAUGCCUUGUGUGCAUGGCAUUGACCUUCUAUUUUAUGGUAAUGUUGUAUCUUUCGGGGUACAUUCAUUCCAUAUAGUUUACUUUGAAAAAAUUAGGGUGUUUAAAGCAGGCGAAAAGGCUUCGGAAUAUAUUAGCAUGGGAUAAUAGAAUACGAUCUAGGUCGUAAUUUGUUGGUUUCUACGGCUUAGGUAAUGAUUGACAGGGAUAGUUGGGGUCGCUCGUAUUGAGUUGUCAGAGGUGAAAUUCUAGGAUUAACUCAAGACGAACUAAUGCGAAAGCAUUCGGCAAGGAUGUUUUCAUUAAUCAAGAACGAAAGUUGGGGGAUCGAAGAUGAUCAGAUACCGUCGUAGUCUCAACUGUAAACUAUGUCGACCGAGGAUCCGGUAGCGUUACAUGGAUGACCUUCCGGGCACUCUGUGAGAAAUCAUAAGUAUUUGGAUUUCGGGGGGAGUAUGGUCGCAAGGCUGAAACUUAAAGGGAUUGACGGAAGGGCACCACCAGGAGUGGAAUCUGCGGCUUAAUUUGACCCAACACGGGAAAACUUACCAGGUCCGGAAACAGUGAGG
This 1309-nucleotide ribosomal RNA is filed under the name metagenome. RNAcentral describes it as "SSU rRNA". It matches the Rfam family "Eukaryotic small subunit ribosomal RNA", at positions 1 to 1238 of the family's 1831-position model. The record is from RNAcentral.